Long non-coding RNA from Parus major (Great Tit), 1621 nucleotides. Lineage: Eukaryota; Metazoa; Chordata; Aves; Passeriformes; Paridae. The record is from Ensembl.
GUUCCCCACCACAAACUCCAGAUCCCGAUCCCGCGACUCCUCCGUUAUUCCGGGUCCUCCUCGCGCUCGGCCCCGGGACGGGGGCGGGAGGGAAAACCGGGAAUUCCCGCGGAUUUUUGGGAAUGUCGGGGCGGCCGGAGCCGGCUCCUGGCGCUCCCGGCGUUCCCGGCUCUGGGAGGGCGGCGGCCGCGGUGGUGACGGCGACGGUGACAGUGAGGAUGGGCAACGAUGGCCACGGUGACGAUGACCAACGAUGGGCAACCAUGGUGAGGAUGAGGAUGAUGAUGAGGAUGACCAUGACCAACGAUGGCCACUGUGAGGAUGACCAACCAUGACCAACCAUGGUGAGGAUGAGGAUGAGGAUGAUGACCAUGACCAGCCAUGGUGAGGAUGAGGAUGGCCAACGAUGACCAACCAUGGUGAGGAUGACGAUGGCCAACGAUGGCGAUGAUGAUGAUGACCAACGAUGACAGUGACCGAUGAUGGUGACGACGAUGAUGACCAAUGAUGACCAACCAUGGUGAUGAUGAUGAUGAUGAUGAUGAUGAUGAUGACCAUAACCAGCCAUGGUGAGGAUGAGGAUGGCCAACGAUGGCCACGGUGACGAUGACCAACGAUGGUGACAGUGAGGAUGAUGAUGGCCAAUGGUGAGGAUGACGAUGACCAUGGCCAAUGAUGACCAUGACCAGCGAUGGUGAGGAUGAUGAUGACCAUGACCAACAAUGACAAUGACCAACGAUGGUGAGGAUGAUGAUGACAUCAAUGACAAUACCAGUGAUGGUGAUGACAUCACCAAUGGCAAAACCAAUGACAUCACCAAUGAUGACAACACUGAUGAUGACCCCAAUGACAUCACAAAUGAUGAUGACAUCACCAAUUAUGAUAAUGACACCGAUGACAUCACCGACGACAACGAAGACGAGGCAGAUGACAUCACCAGUGACUAUGACAUCACCCAUGACAUCACCAACGACAAUGACACCAGUGACAUCACCAAUGAUGACGAUGACGACGCCGAUGAUGUCACCAAUGACAUCACCGAUGAUGAUGCCGAUGACGUCACCGCCGCCGCCGCACCGCCGGGCCAGGCCCCUCCCCCAUCCCGUGCAUGUUUAUUGAACUCAUUCCCGCCCUUUUCUCCCCAAAAUCCGCCCCCGAUCCGAAGGCUCCGCUUGACUCAAGCCCUUCGUUAAUUAAUUAACCCCGAACCCAUUAAUUAACAGCAAACCUCAGGCAGCUCCCGGGGUUUCCCUUCCCGGUGUCCGUCCGGAUUAUCCCGGGAAUUUCCCAGCGCCGUCGCUUGGACUUCCAGAAAAAAAUAUCCUCCGGAUUUUUGGGGUGAAUUCCCGGGAAAAAUCAGGAGAAAAUCACCGGAAUUCCGUUCUCCCGCCCUGCCGGGGCCGCGGGGUUUCACUUUGGGGUGAGAAAAGUCGGAUUUGGGACGGUUUUGGGGGGUUUUUUUUCCGAGAUUUUUCGGUUUUGUCGUUUUUGCUUCCGUUGGGUGGGAAAAGAAGAAAAAAAAAACAGGAAAAAUCCUGAAAAUCCCAAAAAUCCCAGCUUGGAUCCGUGCAAAAAUUCCCCAAAAAAUAAAAAAUAGCUGUAAAGCCCCGGCUCUUCUCCU